GUGUCAGCAGCCGCGGUAAUACGGAGGGUGCAAGCGUUAUUCGGAAUUAUUGGGCGUAAAGGGCGUGUAGGCGGCCAGACAAGUCAGAUGUGAAAGCCCGGGGCUCAACCCCGGAAGUGCAUUUGAAACUGUUUGGCUUGAGUGCGGGAGAGGAAAGCGGAAUUCCCAGUGUAGAGGUGAAAUUCGUAGAUAUUGGGAGGAACACCGGUGGCGAAGGCGGCUUUCUGGACCGACACUGACGCUGAGGCGCGAAAGCGUGGGGAGCAAACAGGAUUAGAUACCCCCGUAGUCC
Molecule: ribosomal RNA, 292 nt
Filed under: uncultured bacterium
Lineage: Bacteria
Description: partial 16S ribosomal RNA
Rfam family: Bacterial small subunit ribosomal RNA
Source: RNAcentral